Molecule: ribosomal RNA, 533 nt
Filed under: uncultured bacterium
Lineage: Bacteria
Description: bacterial SSU rRNA
Rfam family: Bacterial small subunit ribosomal RNA
Source: RNAcentral
CAGGGAAUAUUGCGCAAUGGGCGAAAGCCUGACGCAGCGACGCCGCGUGAGGGAUGAAGGCCUUCGGGUUGUAAACCUCUUUCAGUGGAGAAGAAGCGAAAGUGACGGUAUCCACAGAAGAAGCCCCGGCCAACUACGUGCCAGCAGCCGCGGUAAUACGUAGGGGGCAAGCGUUGUCCGGAUUUAUUGGGCGUAAAGGGCUCGUAGGCGGCUUAGCAAGUCGGUCGUGAAAUACCGGGGCUCAACCCCGGGAUGCCGAUCGAAACUGCUAUGGCUUGGGUCCGGUAGAGGAGAAUGGAAUUCCCGGUGUAGCGGUGAAAUGCGCAGAUAUCGGGAGGAACACCAACAGCGAAGGCAGUUCUCUGGGCCGGUACCGACGCUGAGGAGCGAAAGCGUGGGGAGCAAACAGGAUUAGAUACCCUGGUAGUCCACGCCGUAAACGUUGGGCACUAGGUGUGGCGGACUCAUCAACGUCUGCCGUACCGUAGCUAACGCAUUAAGUGCCCCGCCUGGGGAGUACGGUCGCAAGGCUA